RNAcentral lists this ribosomal RNA (484 nucleotides) under uncultured bacterium. Its description in RNAcentral is "partial 16S ribosomal RNA". It matches the Rfam family "Bacterial small subunit ribosomal RNA", at positions 28 to 507 of the family's 1533-position model. The record is from RNAcentral.
GUUGAACGCUGGCGGCAGGCCUAAUACAUGCAAGUCGAGCGGACGAAGGGGGCGUUCUCCUGGAUUCUGUUGCGGGCGGGCGGGUAAUGCACACGAAUCUACCCGGCCGAGGAGGCUGAGGUAACGUCGGGAACGCUAAUAUCACACCCGACGUGAGUGAGAACGUGAGGGUUCAUAGGACCACACGCUACCUGCUGUCACUUGGUUGGAUUAGCUAGUUGGUUAGGUAAAGGCCUACCAAGGCGACGAUCCGUAACUGCUCUGAGAGGCUGAUCAGUCACACUGGAACUGAGACACGGUCCAGACUCCUACGGGAGGCAGCAGUGGGGAAUAUUGGACAAUGGGCGAAAGCCUGAUCCAGCCAUGCCGCGUGUGUGAAGAAGGUCUUCGGAUUGUAAAGCACUUUAAGUUGGGAGGAAGGUCAGUAAGUUAAUACCUUGCUGUUUUGACGUUACCAACAGAAUAAGCACCGGCUAACUUCGUG